This 305-nucleotide ribosomal RNA is filed under the name uncultured bacterium. RNAcentral describes it as "bacterial SSU rRNA". It matches the Rfam family "Bacterial small subunit ribosomal RNA", at positions 335 to 637 of the family's 1533-position model. The record is from RNAcentral.
UUUCCUACGGGGCGCAGCAGCGAGGAAUAUUGGUCAAUGGGAGAGAUCCUGAACCAGCCAAGCCGCGUGAGGGAAGACGGCCCUAUGGGUUGUAAACCUCUUUUGUCGGAGAACAAAACCCGGGACGUGUCCCGGACUGCGUGUAUCCGAAGAAAAAGCAUCGGCUAACUCCGUGCCAGCAGCCGCGGUAAUACGGAGGAUGCAAGCGUUAUCCGGAUUUAUUGGGCGUAAAGGGCUCGUAGGCGGUUCGUCGCGUCCGGUGUGAAAGUCCAUCGCUUAACGGUGGAUCCGCGCCGGGUACGGGG